UACGGAGGAUCCAAGCGUUAUCCGGAAUCAUUGGGCGUAAAGAGCUCGUAGGCGGUUCAGCAAGUCGGCUGUGAAAGUCCGUGGCUCAACCUCGGAAUUGCAGUCGAUACUGCUGUGACUCGAGUCCGGUAGAGGAGAAUGGAAUUCUCGGUGUAGCGGUGAAAUGCGCAGAUAUCGAGAGGAACACCAGUAGCGAAGGCGGUUCUCUGGGCCGGCACUGACGCUGAGGAGCGAAAGCCAGGGUAGCGAACGGG
Molecule: unclassified non-coding RNA, 254 nt
Filed under: uncultured Acidimicrobiia bacterium
Lineage: Bacteria; Bacillati; Actinomycetota; Acidimicrobiia
Description: contains 16S-23S intergenic spacer region
Rfam family: Bacterial small subunit ribosomal RNA
Source: RNAcentral